UGUGAUAUAACUCAGUGGCAGAGUACUUGCCUAGCAUGCCAGGUCCCCAGGUUCAAUCCCUGGCACUGCAG
Molecule: transfer RNA, 71 nt
Filed under: Ictidomys tridecemlineatus (thirteen-lined ground squirrel)
Lineage: Eukaryota; Metazoa; Chordata; Mammalia; Rodentia; Sciuridae
Also listed under: 1 other name
Description: Spermophilus tridecemlineatus (thirteen-lined ground squirrel) tRNA
Rfam family: tRNA
About the family: Transfer RNA (tRNA) molecules are approximately 80 nucleotides in length. Their secondary structure includes four short double-helical elements and three loops (D, anti-codon, and T loops).
Source: Rfam by way of RNAcentral